This 2126-nucleotide long non-coding RNA is filed under the name Pelobates cultripes (western spadefoot toad). Lineage: Eukaryota; Metazoa; Chordata; Amphibia; Anura; Pelobatidae. The record is from RNAcentral.
CCUCACACACCGCGCAUGCUCAAUAUAGGGGUAUGGAAAUGUGAUGGCCAUUAGCCCUGUGAAAUCUCCCUACCCAGUCUCUCCCUGCACCCAACACUCCCAGCCAUCCGAGGGGAGGGUGUACUAUAUUAGGGGGGUUUCAGUGUAUUCUAUUGGGGAGUGGGGGUUUUAGUACAUUAUUAUAUUGGGGUCUGUGCAGUAUAUGGGGGGCUGUCUGCGCUGUAUAUGGGGGGCUGUCUGCGCAGUAUAUUGGGGGGUCUGCGCUGCAUGUGGGGGGUCUGUGCAGUAUAUUGUGGGGGGUCUGCGCUGUAUAUUGGGGGGUCUGCGUUGUAUAUGGUGGGCUGUCUGCGCAGUAUAUUGGGGGGUCUGCGUUGUAUAUGGGGGUUACGCAGUGUAUUGGGGGGUCUGUGAAGUAUAUUGGGGUGGCCUGUGUGUUAGAUGGAGGGGCUGUUUGUUACAUGUGGGGGGGCAGUGUAUUAUAUUUGGGGGCUGUGCGUUAGAUGGGGAGCUGUACAGUACGUGUGGCCUGUGUGUUAGAUUUGUACAACCCUAGUUUCACAGAAAAAAUAUUUAUUUCCUAGAUCUCAUAUGCCAUGGCAUGCUUUUUGCUAUGAAACCGCAGCCAUCUAGUCACUCACCAGAGAAGGAUGAGAAACUGCACCCCAGCGAGAGGGACAGACCCACAUCUGCAACCAAAUCCGUCGGUCACCGAAUCCGUAAUCUCCGUCUCUUUGUGCAUUGUGUAUGUAUGGUACUCCCAAUUCUUAUAUUUAAUCCGGUGUGUCUCCCACAGUCUUUGUGUCUGUCUGCUGUAUGUAUGUGGCACGCAAGUCUGCAUGCACUGUGUCUGUUAUGCCAGUUACUCUAACCAGUUUAUUUAUUUUUUUGUGUGUCACAGCUCUGACAAGCAUGUUCUCCUAUGGGACACGAAGUACAUGAAGAGGAAUGAAGAAGCCCAUGUCUGAUGCUCGUAUCCAGGGUGGAGUAUUGAAUUUAUAAGUAAUAAAGUGGCAUCUAACACAUGACAAGCUGCUCCUGUUUGCACAGCAACUUCAACAUUGUGUACUGUGAUCACAGCAUAGUUCAGAGGUAGGUAACCUUGGGCAGUCCAGAUGCUGUGAAUUACAUCUCCCAUAAUGCUGGCAAACCAUUAUGGGAGGUGUAGUCCAAAACAUUUGGAAUACCGAAUGCGUAUGAAUGCAAAGUAUGGUGUGUGUGUGUGUGAAUGGUCAGUAACAAGGGUUGAAGCCUUGACGUGGCGUUACUGCUCACAUGUGUAUUCAUGUGCCAAUUCAACCAAUGUGAGUCACUGUAAUACUUAUAAGGUAACCAAAAGUACUUAGAUUGUGGAGAAUGAAACGCCUGUAUCACCUACACACUGUUUACACUGUGACCGUAUCUCCUAAACACUGCUUACACUGUGACCCUAUCGCCUAAACACUGCUUACACUGUGACCCUCUCGCCUAAACACUGCUCACACUGUGACCCUCUCGCCUAAACACUGCUCAUGCUGUGACCGUAUCUCCUAAACAUUGCUUACACUGUGACCCUAUCGCCUAAACACUGCUCAUACUGUGACCGUAUCUCCUAAACACUGCUUACACUGUGACUGUAUCCCAUAAACACUGCUUACACUGUGACCGUAUCCCAUAAACACUGCUUACACUGUGACCCAAUCGCCUAAACACUGCUUACACUGUGAAUGUUAUUUUUUCAAGUUAGUUUUAGUGUUUGCGGUUUCAUUGAUUUGUUAACCACUCUCCUCAAUCUUCUGUUCUGUGUUUUCUUACAUUUGUGGGAAGAACAAGGUGAUCCUCUCAAUUUUACACUCCUCUACUGAUGGUUCCAGUGCCAGAGACAAACCCACCACCAUUAACCUCGACCUGCUCAAACAGAAGAGAUUACCUUCUUCUAUAGAAAACUUCCAUAUGGCUGCUUCGGAACACAUGCUGCAGACAUGAUGUAACCUUCAUUUUCCAGUGAUUAAGAAUCGUGGUCCGUCCAGGGAAAGAGACCAUUAUAUUAUAUUAUUAAGAUACUACCUUCCUAGUGCCAUACAGCCUUUCUUUACAUGUGAUUGAACUUUCUCCUUCUUGGAUACCACAGUGUGACUUUUCUUAACCAG